UGCUAUACAUGCAAGUCGAACGCUUCUUUCCUCCCGAGUGCUUGCACUCAAUUGGAAAGAGGAGUGGCGGACGGGUGAGUAACACGUGGGUAACCUACCCAUCAGAGGGGGAUAACACUUGGAAACAGGUGCUAAUACCGCAUAACAGUUUAUGCCGCAUGGCAUAAGAGUGAAAGGCGCUUUCGGGUGUCGCUGAUGGAUGGACCCGCGGUGCAUUAGCUAGUUGGUGAGGUAACGGCUCACCAAGGCCACGAUGCAUAGCCGACCUGAGAGGGUGAUCGGCCACACUGGGACUGAGACACGGCCCAGACUCCUACGGGAGGCAGCAGUAGGGAAUCUUCGGCAAUGGACGAAAGUCUGACCGAGCAACGCCGCGUGAGUGAAGAAGGUUUUCGGAUCGUAAAACUCUGUUGUUAGAGAAGAACAAGGACGUUAGUAACUGAACGUCCCCUGACGGUAUCUAACCAGAAAGCCACGGCUAACUACGUGCCAGCAGCCGCGGUAAUACGUAGGUGGCAAGCGUUGUCCGGAUUUAUUGGGCGUAAAGCGAGCGCAGGCGGUUUCUUAAGUCUGAUGUGAAAGCCCCCGGCUCAACCGGGGAGGGUCAUUGGAAACUGGGAGACUUGAGUGCAGAAGAGGAGAGUGGAAUUCCAUGUGUAGCGGUGAAAUGCGUAGAUAUAUGGAGGAACACCAGUGGCGAAGGCGGCUCUCUGGUCUGUAACUGACGCUGAGGCUCGAAAGCGUGGGGAGCAAACAGGAUUAGAUACCCUGGUAGUCCACGCCGUAAACGAUGAGUGCUAAGUGUUGGAGGGUUUCCGCCCUUCAGUGCUGCAGCAAACGCAUUAAGCACUCCGCCUGGGGAGUACGACCGCAAGGUUGAAACUCAAAGGAAUUGACGGGGGCCCGCACAAGCGGUGGAGCAUGUGGU
Molecule: ribosomal RNA, 928 nt
Filed under: Enterococcus faecalis
Lineage: Bacteria; Bacillati; Bacillota; Bacilli; Lactobacillales; Enterococcaceae
Description: bacterial SSU rRNA
Rfam family: Bacterial small subunit ribosomal RNA
Source: RNAcentral